RNAcentral lists this ribosomal RNA (497 nucleotides) under Enterococcus faecium. RNAcentral describes it as "bacterial SSU rRNA". It matches the Rfam family "Bacterial small subunit ribosomal RNA", at positions 1044 to 1533 of the family's 1533-position model. The record is from RNAcentral. Lineage: Bacteria; Bacillati; Bacillota; Bacilli; Lactobacillales; Enterococcaceae.
CAUGGUUGUCGUCAGCUCGUGUCGUGAGAUGUUGGGUUAAGUCCCGCAACGAGCGCAACCCUUAUUGUUAGUUGCCAUCAUUCAGUUGGGCACUCUAGCAAGACUGCCGGUGACAAACCGGAGGAAGGUGGGGAUGACGUCAAAUCAUCAUGCCCCUUAUGACCUGGGCUACACACGUGCUACAAUGGGAAGUACAACGAGUUGCGAAGUCGCGAGGCUAAGCUAAUCUCUUAAAGCUUCUCUCAGUUCGGAUUGCAGGCUGCAACUCGCCUGCAUGAAGCCGGAAUCGCUAGUAAUCGCGGAUCAGCACGCCGCGGUGAAUACGUUCCCGGGCCUUGUACACACCGCCCGUCACACCACGAGAGUUUGUAACACCCGAAGUCGGUGAGGUAACCUUUUUGGAGCCAGCCGCCUAAGGUGGGAUAGAUGAUUGGGGUGAAGUCGUAACAAGGUAGCCGUAUCGGAAGGUGCGGCUGGAUCACCUCCUUUCUAAGGAA